This 35-nucleotide ribosomal RNA is filed under the name Desarmillaria ectypa. Its description in RNAcentral is "Armillaria ectypa partial small subunit ribosomal RNA". The record is from RNAcentral. RNAcentral also lists the same sequence under 1 other name. Lineage: Eukaryota; Fungi; Basidiomycota; Agaricomycetes; Agaricales; Physalacriaceae.
GGUUUCCGUAGGUGAACCUGCGGAAAGGAUCAUUA